This is a long non-coding RNA of Doryrhamphus excisus (bluestripe pipefish), 875 nucleotides long. RefSeq lists it as uncharacterized. NCBI's taxonomy places the organism in Eukaryota, Metazoa, Chordata, Actinopteri, Syngnathiformes, Syngnathidae. The record is from RefSeq and is a predicted model, not a curated record.
AAGGGCAGAAGGCGGCAGCAAAGCGAACACAGAUCACAACAAAUUGGCGGCCAACACGGAGGAUAUGCAGUACAUAGCUUUUACAAGCUUUUACAGCAAAGUUUAGAAGUAUAAAUUGCAUAUAAAGUACUUCAUAUCCAGAUGAAAGCCAACCCGCACGUCACGCUGUGGAUGUGAAUGCGGACAGAAUAACAUCAGUAACCUCACCUUCAAGCAGCUGAAUGAGAUGAGCGGUCUGGCUGCCAGCACAGAUAAACAAGCUAAGGCUGCUUAUGCAAACACACACGGAAAAAGCUGUGCCUUUGCCAUACAAAAAGGUAUUUACAUCUGGAUCGGAUGCAUAAUUUAGAAGAUGCAACCUCUUGUUUGAACCCGCCAACAUCAUAGGAAAUAAUCUGAGGCGACGGAAAACCAAUGAACAUUGGUCAUAGGCACUACGACCAUUUGGAAUGUCCUGAAGAAGAUGAUUUUAUUCUUUGUGUAUUGUACUUAUAGUAAUGUUCAUAGACUCCAGAAAGGUUUGGACCAUUUUUGCCGCAUGUAAUCAUUCUCACACAUUUCAACAAUGCAGACUCCACCUGAAGUGUCACCACAGGGGAUGCAGAGUUUGAUUGCUGCUUGCUUUGGUGCUUAAUGAGUCCCAUGAGCGUGUUGUUAACUUGAGCCCUGCCAACCAUUGUCAGCGUUACUUCCAAAUCCAUACACCAAUUAUUCCCUCAAUGGAUGUGGAUAAUUUCAUUAUAUAAUAAACUGAAACAAUCUAUGAAGACAGGAAGUGAAGAAAGAAAGACACUUGCUGUUUAACACUAUGCGUCAUUCCAUUGGAUGCUGGAAAUAUUUCUAAGCACAUUGCAAAGAAAAUGCUCCUUUAUUAA